AGCAACUGCUGCCUCAAAUUUCCAGAGAUCGACAGCUCAGGUUUUAAAGUUGCUCGGGGACUUUUCAGGACAUCAUGUCUCUAAGGAAGAAAGUAAGACCGAGUUCUGCCUCAGGGAAGUUAGAAACAUUCAACCUUAGCAGCAUACUGACAGAGCUCCAAGGGCCAUCCGCGGCUCGAGGCCCUAUGUGUCGGCACACCCAGACUCCGCAAGAAGGCAUCGGGCUGCAGGCUGCAGCUCCUGUUUCUGUCAGUGACUUUACAGAAGAAGCCCGGGAAGAUGGCUCUCCCCUCCCAGAGUGGCUGGUGAAGGAGAUGCUGAAAAAGCAGCAGAGAAGUUACUCGAUUGGGCUCAUGGAAAACAUAUCAGAGAGCACACGUGCUCAGCGUCACUUCAACCCUGCAAAGAGCCUCUGGAAAGGAAAGGAGUUGGAAAAGGAUGGCUACAAAUCAUUGGAUGUAGAGAAGUUUAAGCAGAUAAUGAAGAAGUGCAUGAGUCCACAUAGCACGAUUGAUGAGCAAGUUGAAAAGCUUUUCAUGAAAAU
Molecule: long non-coding RNA, 544 nt
Filed under: Struthio camelus australis
Lineage: Eukaryota; Metazoa; Chordata; Aves; Struthioniformes; Struthionidae
Description: lncRNA (ENSSCUG00000014806.1)
Source: RNAcentral